ACUGAAUAGUAACAAUUUUAUUCUGAUUGAAAAAUCAGGUAAUAUUCUAAUGAUCUUUAAAAAUUAAACCGAGUUUAUUUUUGCUUUUUAAUUUUUGAAAAUUAAAAAAAUUAAAAAGAAAGAUUAUGCUAAAAUUGUUAAAAUACCUUAAGAUAUAUUAUCUCAAAAUAGGCUAUACUCAAAAAUAGUUUUAACUUUUUAAAUAAAUAAGAGUAUUUGGUGGAUGCCUUGGGUCUGAAAGUCGAUGAAGGACGUGAUUACCUGCGAUAAGCUU
This 274-nucleotide ribosomal RNA is filed under the name Mesomycoplasma hyopneumoniae. RNAcentral describes it as "Mycoplasma hyopneumoniae partial ribosomal RNA". Lineage: Bacteria; Bacillati; Mycoplasmatota; Mycoplasmoidales; Metamycoplasmataceae. The record is from RNAcentral.